This 1202-nucleotide ribosomal RNA is filed under the name metagenome. Its description in RNAcentral is "bacterial SSU rRNA". It matches the Rfam family "Bacterial small subunit ribosomal RNA", at positions 286 to 1498 of the family's 1533-position model. The record is from RNAcentral.
GGGGUUCUGAGAGGAAGGUCCCCCACAUUGGAACUGAGACACGGUCCAAACUCCUACGGGAGGCAGCAGUGAGGAAUAUUGGUCAAUGGACGAGAGUCUGAACCAGCCAAGUAGCGUGCAGGAAGACGGCCCUAUGGGUUGUAAACUGCUUUUAUAAGGGAAUAAAGUGAGAGUCGUGACUCUUUUUGCAUGUACCUUAUGAAUAAGGACCGGCUAAUUCCGUGCCAGCAGCCGCGGUAAUACGGAAGGUCCGGGCGUUAUCCGGAUUUAUUGGGUUUAAAGGGAGCGUAGGCCGGAGAUUAAGCGUGUUGUGAAAUGUAGACGCUCAACGUCUGCACUGCAGCGCGAACUGGUUUCCUUGAGUACGCACAAAGUGGGCGGAAUUCGUGGUGUAGCGGUGAAAUGCUUAGAUAUCACGAAGAACUCCGAUUGCGAAGGCAGCUCACUGGAGCGCAACUGACGCUGAAGCUCGAAAGUGCGGGUAUCGAACAGGAUUAGAUACCCUGGUAGUCCGCACGGUAAACGAUGGAUGCCCGCUGUUGGUCUGAAUAGGUCAGCGGCCAAGCGAAAGCAUUAAGCAUCCCACCUGGGGAGUACGCCGGCAACGGUGAAACUCAAAGGAAUUGACGGGGGCCCGCACAAGCGGAGGAACAUGUGGUUUAAUUCGAUGAUACGCGAGGAACCUUACCCGGGCUUGAAUUGCAGAGGGAGGAUUUGGAGACAAUGACGCCCUUCGGGGCCUCUGUGAAGGUGCUGCAUGGUUGUCGUCAGCUCGUGCCGUGAGGUGUCGGCUUAAGUGCCAUAACGAGCGCAACCCCUCUCCUUAGUUGCCAUCAGGUUAAGCUGGGCACUCUGGGGACACUGCCACCGUAAGGUGUGAGGAAGGUGGGGAUUACGUCAAAUCAGCACGGCCCUUACGUCCGGGGCUACACACGUGUUACAAUGGCAGGUACAGAGAGACGGUCCCUUGCAAAACGGAUCAAAUCCUUAAAGCCUGUCUCAGUUCGGACUGGGGUCUGCAACCCGACCCCACGAAGCUGGAUUCGCUAGUAAUCGCGCAUCAGCCAUGGCGCGGUGAAUACGUUCCCGGGCCUUGUACACACCGCCCGUCAAGCCAUGAAAGCCGGGGGCGCCUAAAGUCCGUGACCGUAAGGAGCAGCCUAGGGCGAAACUGGUAAUUGGGGCUAAGUCGUAACAAGGUA